Molecule: unclassified non-coding RNA, 361 nt
Filed under: plant metagenome
Description: partial contains 5.8S ribosomal RNA, internal transcribed spacer 2, and large subunit ribosomal RNA
Rfam family: 5.8S ribosomal RNA (bases 1-106)
Source: RNAcentral
CGAAAUGCGAUAAGUAGUGUGAAUUGCAGAAUUCAGUGAAUCAUCGAAUCUUUGAACGCACAUUGCGCCUUCCGGCAUUCCGGGAGGCAUGCCUGUCCGAACGUCAUCAAGCCCCUCGCCCGCCCCCGUUGCUCGCAACGGGGGCCAAGGCGGUUCCUGGCAGAUGGGCCGCGCAAGCGCGCCCACCGCUGAAUUCCAUCGGCAGACCCUUCACGGCUGUGAUUGUGAUAAGAACUUACUUACAAUCGACUGUCUGAAUGGCGUCUGGCCGCAAUCUGCCUGCAGACCCUCCACGGGGACCCUGCGGCGUCACCAAAUCUUUUGACUUCGGAUCAGGUAGGGAUACCCGCUGAACUUAAGC